ACGGGUGUAGCUCAAUUUGGCAGAGUAGCGGUCUCCAAAACCGCGGGCUGGGAGUUCGAGUCUCUCCACCCGUG
Molecule: transfer RNA, 74 nt
Filed under: Bacteroidales bacterium
Lineage: Bacteria; Pseudomonadati; Bacteroidota; Bacteroidia; Bacteroidales
Also listed under: 1 other name
Description: tRNA-Trp
Rfam family: tRNA
About the family: Transfer RNA (tRNA) molecules are approximately 80 nucleotides in length. Their secondary structure includes four short double-helical elements and three loops (D, anti-codon, and T loops). Further hydrogen bonds mediate the characteristic L-shaped molecular structure. tRNAs have two regions of fundamental functional importance: the anti-codon, which is responsible for specific mRNA codon recognition, and the 3' end, to which the tRNAs corresponding amino acid is attached (by aminoacyl-tRNA synthetases). tRNAs cope with the degeneracy of the genetic code in two manners: having more than one tRNA (with a specific anti-codon) for a particular amino acid; and 'wobble' base-pairing, i.e. permitting non-standard base-pairing at the 3rd anti-codon position.
Source: RNAcentral